GGUUCUGUAGCUCAGUUGGUUAGAGCGUCCCGCUCAUAACGGGAGGGUCAUUGAUUCAAGUUCAAUCAGAGCCA
This 74-nucleotide transfer RNA is filed under the name Moritella sp. PE36. RNAcentral describes it as "tRNA-Met". It matches the Rfam family "tRNA". From Rfam's summary of the family: Transfer RNA (tRNA) molecules are approximately 80 nucleotides in length. Their secondary structure includes four short double-helical elements and three loops (D, anti-codon, and T loops). The record is from RNAcentral. Lineage: Bacteria; Pseudomonadati; Pseudomonadota; Gammaproteobacteria; Alteromonadales; Moritellaceae.